GUCUAUGGCCAUGCCACCCUGAACAAGCUUGAUCCCAUCUGAUCUCGGAAGCUAAGUAGGAUCGGGCCUGGUUAGUACUUAGAUGGGAGACGGCCUAGGAAGACCAGGUGCCAUAGGAU
RNAcentral lists this ribosomal RNA (119 nucleotides) under Pteropus alecto (black flying fox). Lineage: Eukaryota; Metazoa; Chordata; Mammalia; Chiroptera; Pteropodidae. The record is from RNAcentral.